GGUGGUUUCAUUUAAGUGAGGAUGUGAAAAGCCCGGGGGGUUUAACCUUGGGACCUGCAUUUUGCAAAUGGUGAACCUAGAAUGCCUUAAAACGGGGGUAGAAUUUUCAGGUGUAGCGGUGAAAUGCGUAGAGAUCUGAACGGAUUUCCAGUGGCGAAGGUUGGCCCCCUGGACAGACACUGACACUCAGGUGCGAAAGCUUGGGGAGCAAACAGGUUUAGAUACCCUGGUAGUUCACGCCGUAAACCGAAGUCUACUUGGAGGUUGUGGCCUUGAGCCGUGGCUUUUGGAGCUAACGCGUUAAGUAGACCGCCUGGGGAGUACGGUUGCAAGAUUAAAACUCAACUGAAUUGACGGGGGCCCGCACAAGCGGUGGAGCAUGUGGUUUAAUUCGAUGCAACGCGAAGAACCUUACCUACUCUUGACAUCCAGAGAAGCCAGCGGAGAUGCAGGUGUGCCUUCGGGAGCUCUGAGACAGGUGCUGCAUGGCGGUCGUCAGCUCGUGUUGUGAAAUGUUGGGUUAAGUCCCGCAACGAGCGCAACCCUUAUCCUUGUUUGCCAGCGAGUAAUGUCGGGAACUCCAGGGAGACUUCCGGUGAUAAUCCGGAGGAAGGUGGGGACGACGUCAAGUCAUCAUGGCCCUUACGAGUAGGGCUACACACGUGCUACAAUGGCGCAUACAGAGGGCAGCAAGCUAGCGAUAGUGAGCGAAUCCCAAAAAAUGCGUCGUAGUCCGGAUUGGAGUCUGCAACUCGACUCCAUGAAGUCGGAAUCGCUUGUAAUCGUGAAUCAGAAUGUCACGGUGAAUACGUUUCCGGGCCUUGUACACACCGCCCGUCACACCAUGGGAGUGGGCUGCAAAAGAAGUGGGUAGUUUAACCUUUCGGGGAGGACGCUCACCACUUUGUGGUUCAUGACUGGGGUGA
Molecule: ribosomal RNA, 926 nt
Filed under: uncultured Vibrio sp.
Lineage: Bacteria; Pseudomonadati; Pseudomonadota; Gammaproteobacteria; Vibrionales; Vibrionaceae
Description: bacterial SSU rRNA
Rfam family: Bacterial small subunit ribosomal RNA
Source: RNAcentral